UCGAGCGAGAAAGUGGAGCAAUCCAUGAGUACAGCGGCGUACGGGUGAGUAACACGUGGGUAAUCUACCUCUUAGUGGGGAAUAACCCUGGGAAACCGGGGCUAAUACCGCAUAAGCCUUAGCAGGGAAAGCAGCAAUGCGCUGAGAGAGGAGCCCGCGGCCGAUUAGCUAGUUGGUGGGGUAAGAGCCCACCAAGGCAGAGAUCGGUAGCCGGCCUGAGAGGGCACACGGCCACACUGGCACUGAAACACGGGCCAGACUCCUACGGGAGGCAGCAGUGGGGAAUCUUGCACAAUGGGGGAAACCCUGAUGCAGCGACGCCGCGUGAGCGAUGAAGCCCUUCGGGGUGUAAAGCUCUUUCGGCAGGGAAGAUAAUGACGGUACCUGCAGAAGCAGCUGCGGCUAACUACGUGCCAGCAGCCGCGGUAAUACGUAGGCAGCAAGCGUUGUUCGGAGUUACUGGGCGUAAAGGGUGUGUAGGCGGUUCUUUAAGUUUGGUGUGAAAUCUCCCGGCUCAACCGGGAGGGUGCGCCGAAUACUGAGGGACUCGAGUGCGGGAGAGGAAAGUGGAAUUCCUGAUGUAGCGGUGAAAUGCGUAGAUAUCAGGAGGAACACCGGUGGUGUAGACGGCUUUCUGGACCGUAACUGACGCUGAGACACGAAAGCGUGGGUAGCAAACAGGAUUAGAUACCCUGGUAGUCCACGCCCUAAACGAUGCAUAUUUGGUGUGGGCAGUUCAUUCUGUCCGUGCCGGAGCUAACGCGUUA
RNAcentral lists this ribosomal RNA (767 nucleotides) under uncultured bacterium. RNAcentral's name for it is "bacterial SSU rRNA". It matches the Rfam family "Bacterial small subunit ribosomal RNA", at positions 62 to 862 of the family's 1533-position model. The record is from RNAcentral.